Molecule: ribosomal RNA, 486 nt
Filed under: uncultured bacterium
Lineage: Bacteria
Description: partial 16S ribosomal RNA
Rfam family: Bacterial small subunit ribosomal RNA
Source: RNAcentral
AUUGAACGCUGGCGGCAUGCCUUACACAUGCCAGUCGAACGGCAGCACGGGUGCUUGCACCUGGUGGCGAGUGGCGAACGGGUGAGUAAUACAUCGGAACAUGUCCUGUAGUGGGGGAUAGCCCGGCGAAAGCCGGAUUAAUACCGCAUACGAUCUACGGAUGAAAGCGGGGGACCUUCGGGCCUCGCGCUAUAUGGUUGGCCGAUGGCUGAUUAGCUAGUUGGUGGGGUAAAGGCCUACCAAGGCGACGAUCAGUAGCUGGUCUGAGAGGACGACCAGCCACACUGGGACUGAGACACGGCCCAGACUCCUACGGGAGGCAGCAGUGGGGAAUUUUGGACAAUGGGCGAAAGCCUGAUCCAGCAAUGCCGCGUGUGUGAAGAAGGCCUUCGGGUUGUAAAGCACUUUUGUCCGGAAAGAAAUCCUUGGCCCUAAUACGGUCGGGGGAUGACGGUACCGGAAGAAUAAGCACCGGCUAACUACGUG